AAUUCAUGAUGUGGACAUAUAUUCAUCAGGUCCUUGAAUCUCUACCAGCAGGCUUGGAACGUCUCGUCACCUUUCUGUAUGAAAUGACAUAUUUGCUCCUGUAGGU
Malania oleifera is the source of this 106-nucleotide small nucleolar RNA. Lineage: Eukaryota; Viridiplantae; Streptophyta; Magnoliopsida; Santalales; Ximeniaceae. The record is from RefSeq and is a predicted model, not a curated record.